CUCAGGUGGGAGAGCCCAGACACCCUACGAAGAAAAUCCAUUUCAGCCGCUUGUAUCGCGAUCUCGUUCUUUCUGUCAUGACCCAAGGCUCAUGACUAUAGAUGAGGGUGGGAACGUAGAUUGGUAAAUCGAAAGCUUCGCUUUUUGACUCAGCUCUCUCUUCACCACGACGGUGUUAGCGCCCGCUUCACAGCAGACGCUGCGCCAAUCCGCCUGUCUAUCUCCCGCUCCCUUCUUCCCUCAUUCGUGAACCAGAUCCCGACAUACUCUGUCAAGGAGAAGCAGAGGCUCGUAUAAAUAUUACGAGCCCUCUGAUUGUAAUAUUUAUGCGAUAAUCUUACUCGUAUAAAAAUCUUAUACGAGUAAUAUUUUUACUCCUAUCAUAUUGAAUUAAAAGUAGGGAGGGCCUUGAUAAUAGUAAUUUUGGUAAAUUCACACUGGUGACGUCCUAGUCCGAGUUAAACGACAACAUAACAGGAUAACAACCGAUGGAAAUGAAAUGUGGGUCAUGAAAGGAACCGAAGGGACGAAGGCUGCUAACUUGUUGCUAGCUGGUGUCUAAACAAAUGAAGAUGAAAGGGGAAGCCAGAAAUCAGGUGUCAGAAAACCUAAAGACUUUCCUGUCCCAGAAGAGUCUCUGGCUCCACCAGAUCACCAACCAGUUCUAAGGAUGAACCUGCACAUUGUCUUCAUGGUGGAAGGCCUUUUUUUUUUAUACUGAGCAGGUGGCUACAUUUUAUCAACAGCAAAAACUGGGCCCUGUGAUGGACUGGUGAUCUGUCCAGGGUGAACCCCGCCUCUCAUCUGAUGACUGCUGGAGAUGGGCACCACCAGCCCCCCUCACCACCCUGCAAGGAUCAGCGUGUUCAGAUCAUGGAUGGAAAGAUUCCACACUUAAAACAGCUUCAUAGUUGAUGCUAGCAUCAACUGAUUCUAUGAUAUUGCUGGCUAUUUUUUCUACUUCUAACAUAAACAGGUAAAGAAGACACUCAGAAAUGUUUUUUCCACUCCAGGCAUCCAGUCCCAAUCAUCAUCAGUUCUGAUGUUGACUCAUACAUAGCGAGUCCACAAUGUCUUAAAAACUGUAAGUCAUAGUUUUUUCUUUGCCAUUUUUCUGUACACUUUAAAAUACGGUGCAAGUGCUUUCUCUGUUUAAUUGCUCUAUUGUUUAUUGUGUAGAUUUUUGUAAAGUGCAGUGAAUGGGAAUGUUCUGUAGAUCCUCACUGUUCAUAGGAAGGAGAAAUGUCAGUUUGUCUGGAGUAAAACUGGAAUUCUGUGACAUUGUUUUAAAACAAUACUCUGUACUUGGUGAAAUAUUUUUCACAUUUUCUCUAAAGUGUACCUAUUGUUUUAUUGUUCUAAUUUUCAUAAGCAUGUUAUCUUUAAACUUUGAAUGUAUUGACAAUUUGUACAAUUCUGUGAUAGUAUAAUGUACAAGUCUUACCCACAUUGAAAAAUGUGGUGAGACUUUAUUUGACGGGGUGUGCAUAAGACUGACAUGACACUGUCAUAAACAUGACAUAACACCUGUUAGGAACAUACUAACAGCUGUCAUAAUGUGAC
Long non-coding RNA from Gambusia affinis (western mosquitofish), 1563 nucleotides. RefSeq lists it as uncharacterized. The transcript is spliced from 3 exons. Lineage: Eukaryota; Metazoa; Chordata; Actinopteri; Cyprinodontiformes; Poeciliidae. The record is from RefSeq and is a predicted model, not a curated record.